ACGCUUACGAUUUUCAGAGAAUGGUUUCCCUUUCAAAAGCAUUAUACUGAUUGACCAUUCAACAAUCCAAAUAAUGAAGCAUACUUGACGGAGGCAAAACAUUUUGCAAUGACUAAAAAUUGUUAUGCUUCAUUCACUACGUCUCUAAGUAUUUAAAUCAAAGAAUACUUUUCAAGCUGUGUUUCAUAACCACUCAAACAAUACGACUAUCCAAGGAAGUUAUAAAAGUAAAGAGUCGCCUUGAAAAAUUAUUUCCCCAUGCGAUGUCAGUUGAAAAGCUGGUUAGACAGCUUCACUUUCAGACAGGCAUGCUGGCUUGGAAACAGUAAGUGCUAGCCAGAUGCUCACGCCAACAGUGACUCAGAGAUAUGCUGUUGCUUCAUGGCAGGGAGGCCAGCGUUGCAGAUAGAUUAGAUUCUGUGGAUGAUGCUGUGGAUGCCGAGCAUACUUUAGGUUUGCAACUUUGCUGACACAAAUUCAAGAGGAAUGUGAAAUGUGACAAAGAAGACUCCUAAUCCAUUUUUCAUUCCAGGAAGGCACCAAUUCACAUAAAGCAGUGGUCUCUGAACUCUUUUCCUCAAUCCCAUAUCCAGUUGUACGAAGCAGCUGGA
RNAcentral lists this long non-coding RNA (611 nucleotides) under Homo sapiens (human). Its description in RNAcentral is "HSALNT0133741". Lineage: Eukaryota; Metazoa; Chordata; Mammalia; Primates; Hominidae. The record is from RNAcentral.